UUGAACUGAAUUGUGAGGGCCACCCAUAAACCUUGCGUCAAGCUUGACUCGUAUGAUAAUAUUUUGAGAGUCAUUUACCAAAUUGUUGCGUCAAAUAAGCAGGAAUCGCGCAUUAUGUAAAACCCUGCUUAAGUGUGUCUGCUUUCAAUCAGUUUCAAAGGGAAGCAUCAUGUGAAUAAAUGUCUGUACAGAUAUUAAGGUAAAUCCAUACAAGUAAUAAUGUAAAUUGUUACACUGACUAAUUGUAGUAUCCUGUAUAUUGGUACUUACCACAGCUUCGUGUGGACUCAGGUUUGAAUAGCACAAUGCCAAAACUGACGACCCAAUCAAUAUUCAUUUGUGUUUCACAAAAAUUCUGUAUGAAGAUUUUAGCAACAAGUACAUCAUGUCUCCAAACUACAGUAGGAAAAUUUGUUAUUACAUAUGUCAAAAUUUAGAAACACAGUCUAACACUGGAUAAUCUUAGAUUUUUUGAUAACUGAUUUCCGCUGCAUUUAAUCAAAUAGGAAUAAUUAAUUAUGAUAACAGAUGGUAAAUAUGUUUGAUAACCUGAUCAAAUUUGGAUCACAUUUGCGUAGAUGGGUGCUCAUGAUGUUGAUCACUGGAUUGUCUGUUCCAGACCCGAUUUACAGACCACCACCAUACAGCUGGAUUAUUGCUUAGUAUGGUGUUAAGCAACAGACAAACUAAACCUGAUCAAAUUUUGCUAGGAAUAUUAGACAAAUUGUUAAUUCAUCUUAAAGUAUUUACCAUGGUUAAAGGAAUGAUAUCUGAGUAUGUUUGAUUAAAUUUAAGUCAUCAUGACUCAUAUCCUCUGUGUUCAUCUUGGGACCCUCCAGUUAUCAUUCUGAGUGACCUAAAGAUGUUUUCUCCAUACAGUUUGCUGUUAUCUUUUUGUGGCAAGAUGUUUGAUGUCAUGAGCAAUCAUACUGUGUAUAAUAUUUGUAACUUUUCAUUAAAAGUCUAUGCCCAUU
This is a long non-coding RNA of Haliotis rubra (blacklip abalone), 974 nucleotides long. RefSeq lists it as uncharacterized. The record is from RefSeq and is a predicted model, not a curated record. The transcript has 2 exons. NCBI's taxonomy places the organism in Eukaryota, Metazoa, Mollusca, Gastropoda, Lepetellida, Haliotidae.